Molecule: long non-coding RNA, 1488 nt
Organism: Lolium rigidum
Lineage: Eukaryota; Viridiplantae; Streptophyta; Magnoliopsida; Poales; Poaceae
Exons: 2
Source: RefSeq, a predicted model, not a curated record
GCUUCAGCCCUCAUCAGUUUGCUGCUGCACUGGCUGGCUUGCUGCGACCUGCAGGCUGCAGCGAGAACAUCGGCCGGGCCGCCGAGAAGGCGACGGCAAUGUCUCAAACUUCAACGCUGCAGCAACGAGCCUAUCUUGCUCGAGGGGAAAUCACCAUCUUUCAAUUAAUCUCUCCGUUCCUUAUUUCAUCUCAAGUUUUUCUUCAUAUUUCCAUCACUUGUUGGGGCGACCUAUAAGGUUGUAUUGUAUGCUUUGUGCCAACAUCUGCUAUUUGCCUUAGAUUCUUGGGUGAAUUUGAGUGAUGUGGUGUUCCCUCAUGUUCUCUGUAACCCCCAUGGCGCCACCGUUUCUGCUCAUCCCUGCUCCCACCCAAGAGUAUGGGCACAUGAUUUGGACAUUGCGGUUUGCAACCAUCUUGAUGUUACUCUGUCUAUCUAUGCCCUUGCAGAGGUUCAAAUCAAACCCUCUCCUAUCAUCUAACGUGCAUUGUCUUCUUACGUUAUUUUCCAAUAUAAAUUAUUGUUGUAUUGAAAACAGAUAAAAUUUGCAGUUCAAAUAUGGUAAUCCUGGUUGAAGAAACGGAGAUUUAUACAUAUUUGGUGUAGCAGUCGUCAUGUUAUUAGUUAACAUGUCAUAUCUUUGUUGUGACCCUGCCCCUUACUUAACUCGUGCCAACAUAACUUUCUGGUAAUGUAAAUAUGGUGUUUUCUAACUGUUUUGAAGAGCUUAGCUCUGCCUGGAAGUUUUAAGAGCUAACCCAAGCAUAACGACUUUCAGUAAUACUGCAUUCCUGCUUGGAGAGUUCAAAAUGAAAUAGCCUACUGGGAUAUUAUCAUAUUAGAUAGUGUUAAUGCUAUCCAGAUCUCAGAUCUUCUAUAAUUGAUCAUGAUUCAACUAAUUAUCCUUUGUAGCAUGUAGGUUGUGGCGGUACAAAGUUUGCAGUGAGUUUCACAGUUCCAUGUGGCAUCAAAAAAUUAUAGUGUCAGAUGUCAGUACUGCAAAGAUUAAUGCCGGGUUGCUAGAUAUACCUUAUCUUAAAUUUCAUGUUUCUUACAAGGUCGCAAUAUAUCUAUUUUAACUUACAUGAAUAGCUCCUAUCACCAUCUAGAGCAUCGACGUUGUUCUUGUUCUCCUGUCACGCAAAAGCCAAAGUAGCCAAAGUAACAGAGAUGUCAGCUAGGAUCAGAUCCUAACUGAUCAAGGCGAAAACAAAAGAGACUUCACCACCUAUCAAACAUUAUUAUUCAGGACUGGCGCUUCCAAUUUUUCCAAUGUUCGGGGUUUGAAUGUUCAGAGAAGUGGUUCAAACAAGUUUAGUUUAGUGUUCUUAAACUAUGCCAGUAGAAGUUAUUUUUUUCCUUAUGCCAAUCAGUUGCAUCUGGAGUCAAAGUAGUUAGUAUUUUAUUUCUUUUGUCAACGACCUUGAAUUGGAAUUUUUAUGUUUUGGGAAGUGUCUUGAAAUAGAACAAUCCAUUUGUUAAGAAAAUA